AUUGAACGCUGGCGGCGUGCCUAACACAUGCAAGUCGAGCGGUAACAGGUGUAGCAAUACAUGCUGACGAGCGGCGAACGGGUGAGUAAUGCUUCGGAAUCUACCCAAUGGUGGGGAAUAACCAGCCGAAAGGUUGGCUAAUACCGCAUACGUCCCACGGGAGAAAGCAGGGGAUCGCAAGACCUUGCGCCAAUGGAUGAGCCGAAGUCGGAUUAGCUAGUUGGAGGGUAACGGCCUACCAAGGCGACGAUCCGUAGCUGGUCUGAGAGGACGACCAGCCACACUGGGACUGAGACACGGCCCAGACUCCUACGGGAGGCAGCAGUGGGGAAUAUUGGACAAUGGGGGAAACCCUGAUCCAGCGACGCCGCGUGUGUGAAGAAGGCCUGCGGGCUGUAAAGCACUUUUAGU
This 411-nucleotide ribosomal RNA is filed under the name uncultured bacterium. RNAcentral describes it as "bacterial SSU rRNA". It matches the Rfam family "Bacterial small subunit ribosomal RNA", at positions 29 to 440 of the family's 1533-position model. The record is from RNAcentral.